UACGUAGGGACCAAGCGUUGUUCGGAUUUACUGGGCGUAAAGGGUGCGUAGGCGGCUUUGUAAGUCAGUGGUGAAAUAUGGCAGCUCAACUGUCAAGGUGCCAUUGAUACUGCGGAGCUUGAGUACAGAUGAGGUAGGCGGAAUUGACGGUGUGGCGGUGAAAUGCUUAGAUAUCGUCAAGAACACCUAUAGCGAAGGCAGCUUACUAGGCUGUAACUGACGCUGAGGCACGAAAGUGUGGGGAUCAAACAGG
This 253-nucleotide ribosomal RNA is filed under the name uncultured bacterium. Its description in RNAcentral is "partial 16S ribosomal RNA". It matches the Rfam family "Bacterial small subunit ribosomal RNA", at positions 524 to 776 of the family's 1533-position model. The record is from RNAcentral.